RNAcentral lists this long non-coding RNA (442 nucleotides) under Scleropages formosus (Asian bonytongue). Its description in RNAcentral is "lncRNA (ENSSFOG00015028144.1)". The record is from RNAcentral. Lineage: Eukaryota; Metazoa; Chordata; Actinopteri; Osteoglossiformes; Osteoglossidae.
GUAAAAACCCGCCACUCCGUUUAUUUCCCUGUGUGCUGGCGGUGUUCAAAUAACCGCUCAAAAUGAACGCUGCCAGUGCGUCCUUCUUCACCCCAUCUAAACCCAGAGUGCUGGGCGCCACAGUAUAGGUGGUCCUCGAUUCACGAUGGUUCGAUGGUGAGUUGGCCAUAGACAUUCAGUAGAAACCGUACUUCUAAUUUUGAUUUUUUUCCUAGGCAAGCGAUAUGCGGUGCGAUACUCUCUCGCGAUGCUGGGCAGCGGGAGCGAUCUACAUCUCCCAGUCUAUCACGCAACGAAUUGCACACAAUGCACAGAGCAGAACAGUCAGCUUCGGAAGAUAGGUGAGGAGAACGUCUCUCAAUUGGAAGUUCUGCGGACAGAGUUAGAAAAUGAACCCUCACAACUACCUGACCAGACUGGGAGAAGACCAGCUCGAUAUUAG